AAACUCUUGAGGUUGCUUGUUAGUCUGUUGCUUUCAAUUUUUUUUUCUUUUUACUCUGGGGUCCUGGCUCUGUAGAUUCCAUUUAUAUAAAGAAUAUUGAUUCAUCACAUUUUGUGUUAUAUUCAGUGUGUUUCAUUGGAAACAGAAUUCCUUCUUUUGUGCACUAGCAUUACCGAUUGAAAUUGGUCUUCCUUUUACUCCUUGGAAAAAUCUGUUUCUGUUUUGUUAGCUGAUAAUAGGCUUGUGAAUCUGCAUCCUUUUGUGAGUAUUUAUCUGUCAAUUGAAUUAAAUUUGUUCUUGUUUAUAUUUAUGAUAUAAUGGCUUCACAGCCUGUUUUGUUAGUGUUCUUUCAUGAAUACACCAGAGAUUUGUCAUGGGCAUUUCAUCCAGAUGUUAGAUUCGGUCUGGAGUGUUUUAGUUUUUCUAUUAGAAUGGCUUAUUUGAGGUUAAAGCUUGUAUUUCUUCUUUUUAGCUGUCUAAAAUUGUUGGGAUUAGCAAAUGACCCAGGUUGUAACAUUUAUCGAUGGAAUAUGUGUUCUACCCUGUUAUUCUUUCUUUCACCAAGGGUUUGAACAAUUUUUGUAUGCAUAGCCCAAAAUCUAAUUCUUAUGGUUGUUUUAAAUAUGAAAAGUUUUCUUAGAAUCUUGUUAGUCAAUCUUUCAUCUAAGGUUCAAUGGCAGAUUAACGAAGAUUUGUAUGUGCAGUGAAUAAAUGUGAUUGCAUUUAACCCUUUGCAUGUGAUGGGUUUUCUAAUGCAGGGCUCCUAGUUUUAUUUUAUAUAUUCUAAAUUUUGUAGAUUCAUAACAUGAAGUUUUUUUUAAACAGUGCAUAAAAAUAAAUGCUUUGCAUUUCAUUAGUUUGUUUUAUCCCUUUUUCUAUUUUUUUAUAUAAAUAAAUUAGUAUGUAUUUUAAUUAAUCAUCAAUUGUUGUUAAUGAUGAGAUUCUAAAAGUGGUUAGAGGGGUCACUCAUUAGUCUUAAAUUACGUCACUAAUUCAAGAUAGAUUAAAUUGAGAUCCCUAU
Molecule: unclassified non-coding RNA, 1021 nt
Filed under: Hevea brasiliensis (rubber tree)
Lineage: Eukaryota; Viridiplantae; Streptophyta; Magnoliopsida; Malpighiales; Euphorbiaceae
Source: RNAcentral